GGGGAUUUAGCUCAGUGGUAGAGCGCUUGCUAGAGGCCCUGGGUUCGGUCCCCAGCUCCA
This 60-nucleotide transfer RNA is filed under the name Rattus norvegicus (Norway rat). It matches the Rfam family "tRNA". From Rfam's summary of the family: Transfer RNA (tRNA) molecules are approximately 80 nucleotides in length. Their secondary structure includes four short double-helical elements and three loops (D, anti-codon, and T loops). Further hydrogen bonds mediate the characteristic L-shaped molecular structure. tRNAs have two regions of fundamental functional importance: the anti-codon, which is responsible for specific mRNA codon recognition, and the 3' end, to which the tRNAs corresponding amino acid is attached (by aminoacyl-tRNA synthetases). tRNAs cope with the degeneracy of the genetic code in two manners: having more than one tRNA (with a specific anti-codon) for a particular amino acid; and 'wobble' base-pairing, i.e. permitting non-standard base-pairing at the 3rd anti-codon position. The record is from Rfam by way of RNAcentral. Lineage: Eukaryota; Metazoa; Chordata; Mammalia; Rodentia; Muridae.